Ictalurus punctatus (channel catfish) is the source of this 622-nucleotide long non-coding RNA. The record is from Ensembl. NCBI's taxonomy places the organism in Eukaryota, Metazoa, Chordata, Actinopteri, Siluriformes, Ictaluridae.
UGUUUGAGUUUUUUGUUUGUUUGUUUGUUUGUUUGUUUGUUUGUUUAAAGAUCACCUGUACCUGUUUGAGUUUUUGUUGUUUGUUUGUUUGUUUAAAGAUCACCUGUACCUGUUUGAGUUUUUGUUGUUUGUUUGUUUGUUUAAAGAUCACCUGUACCUGUUUGAGUUUUUUUUUGUUGUUUGUUUGUUUGUUUAAAGAUCACCUGUACCUGUUUGAGUUUUUGUUGUUUGUUUGUUUGUUUAAAGAUCACCUGUACCUGUUUGAGUUUUGUUGUUUGUUUGUUUGUUUAAAGAUCACCUGUACCUGUUUGAGUUUUUGUUGUUUGUUUGUUUGUUUAAAGAUCACCUGUACCUGUUUGAGUGUUUGUUUGUUUUUUUUUUUUGUUGUUUGUUUGUUUGUUUAAAGAUCACCUGUACCUGUUUGAGUGUUUGUUUGUUUUUUGUUUGUUUGUUUGUUUGUUUGUUUAUCACCAGUACCUGUUUGAGUUUUUUUGUUUGUUUGUUUGUUUGUUUGUUUGUUUGUUUGUUUAAAGAUCACCAGUACCCGUUUGAGUUUUUGUUUGUUUGUUUGUUUGUUUGUUUGUUUGUUUGUUUGUUUGUUUAAAGAUCACCAAUACCCGUU